UAGUGAUUAAAAUCCAUGCAAAAAACCAAUCAGACUUCAGCAUUAUCAAAGAUUAAAUUUCCAUAUACUAUUUUCUCCAGUGAAGUUGCAUAUUUCUUAACACAAAUAUUAAUUCAAAGUGUUUUGGCACAUUAUCAUUUUUUAUGUUUUCGGCUGCAGAGAUGUCAAGUAAGAUUUAAGUUCUCAAUCUAAGAGAGCACACUAUUCUCAAGACAUUGUUCUGAUUUGUGUAGGAUUAGCAGGGGCAGUUCUUCAGUGCUUUGCAGGGACAGACUGCUUGCAAUCAGAAGAUGUUGCAAACGUAAAAAUUUCCCAUCUUCCAAGCUGCUACUUACCGAACACUUGUUGGCUUCUGAAGAUCACCAUCUGCCAUAAAAAACAAUUGACAUGAAAAUUUGGAAAUUGAAGGAGAACCAAGUGGCACAAGAUGAGGAAAAUAGAACUCUGCUCUUCGCAGAGUUUUUCAGUUAUCUUUGUGUUCAAGGAUGAACAAAUAUGGGAAGUUGCAUGGCUAUAUAAGGCAGCAAAAAUUGCCGAAAACUUGAACGACAUCCAAGCAAACGCCCAGAGUUUAGGAACUGAUUGAAUCAUACAAUACAUUUGGGUGGUUCAAUAGAAAUGUUGGAGCCCAGUUGAUUUUAUCAAAGGUAUAGUAACUUGAAGUGUGGGUACUAAUAAAUUUCAGUAAUUUCAUUGUGGUCACUGAUAAACUUCACUUUUGCCAUUGAGUCUGCAAUUUUUUUAAGUCUUCACUUUUCUGUCUUAAUCUAUUGAAGUCUGAAUAAAAAGCUCCCUGAGUGGACAUUUCA
Long non-coding RNA from Cryptomeria japonica (Japanese cedar), 809 nucleotides. RefSeq lists it as uncharacterized. Lineage: Eukaryota; Viridiplantae; Streptophyta; Pinopsida; Cupressales; Cupressaceae. The transcript is spliced from 2 exons. The record is from RefSeq and is a predicted model, not a curated record.